CCUACGGGUGGCAGCAGUGGGGAAUCUUGCGCAAUGCUCGUAAGAGUGACGCAGCGACGCCGCGUGAAUGACGAAGGCCUUCGGGUCGUAAAGUUCUUUCGACAGGGAAGAAAAUGCCUAUAAGUAACUGUGUAUGUAUUGACGGUACCUGUAUAAGCAGCCCCGGCUAACUCCGUGCCAGCAGCCGCGGUAAUACGGGGGAUGCAAGCGUUAUCCGGAUUUAUUGGGUUUAAAGGGUGCGUAGGCUGUGAGGUAAGUCAGCGGUGAAAUGCCCCCGCUCAACGGGGUGAAGUGCCAUUGAUACUGCCUUGCUGGAAUGCGGAUGCCGUGGGAGGAAUGUGUGGUGUAGCGGUGAAAUGCAUAGAUAUCACACAGAACACCGAUUGCGAAGGCAUCUCACGAAUCCGCGAUUGACGCUGAUGCACGAAAGCGUGGGUAUCAAACAGGAUUAGAUACCCUGGUAGUC
RNAcentral lists this ribosomal RNA (466 nucleotides) under uncultured bacterium. Its description in RNAcentral is "partial 16S ribosomal RNA". It matches the Rfam family "Bacterial small subunit ribosomal RNA", at positions 338 to 795 of the family's 1533-position model. The record is from RNAcentral.